Molecule: long non-coding RNA, 1969 nt
Filed under: Junco hyemalis (dark-eyed junco)
Lineage: Eukaryota; Metazoa; Chordata; Aves; Passeriformes; Passerellidae
Description: lncRNA (ENSJHYG00000004432.1)
Source: RNAcentral
UAAAGUGUCACAGUAAGGUGUCACAGUAAGAAAGAUGGCACAGUAAGAAAGAUGGCACAGUAAGAAAGAUGGCACAGUAAGAUGUCACAGUAAAAUGUCACAGUAAGGUGUCACAGUAAGAAAGAUGGCACAGUAAGAUGGCACAAUAAGAUGCCACAGUAAGAAAGAUGUCAUAGUAAGAUGUCACCGUAAUUUGAAUCUGCUCUCCUAGAGAAGCCCCUUUGGGGGUUCUGUCCCAAAUUUGCCCAGAACCAGGACACCCCUAUUUCAUUUGUGGGGGGAUGCUGACCCACCUCGAAGGACUGGAAGGUCAGUCCCACGUGGUAGCCCUCGGACACGGUGAUUUUCCAGACGCACACCUUGCUGGGCCGGUAGUCAUCGGGAUAAUUAGGGGACUGGAUGUGGCCGUUGUCCUUCUUGACGUCCCCCCCGCAGAUGGCUGGAAGGGAGGAGCAGCAGCCUGAGCCCCCCCGGGCCCCCGGCCGCCCCCUGGGCCCCGCUGCUCCCCCCUACCUUCGUAGACGGCGAAGAAACCUUUGCCCACCCAGUUGCUGCUGCUGCGGAACUCCACCCACAGGCGGCUGUCGGUGGAGAUGAUGGGCUCGGGCAGCUUGUUCCCGCAGAACCUGCCUGGGGAGGAAGGCGUGCUGGGCUGCCGUGCUGGGACCCUCCUCUUCCUCACCGCCACCUGCUUUUCCUCACCACCUCCUGCUCUUCCUCAUCAUCACCUCCUCUUCCUCACUGCUACCACCUCUUCCUCACUGCCAUCUUCUUUUCCUCACUGCCACCUCUUCUUCACCACCACCUCCUCUUCCUGCUCACCAUCUCCUCUUCCUCACUGCCGUCUCCUCUUCCUCACCACCGUCUCCUCUUCCUCACCGCCACCUUCUCUUCCUCAUCACCAGCUCCUCUUCCUGCUCACCACCUCCUCUCCCUCACUGCUCCCUCCUCUUCCUCACUGCCAUCUCCUCUUCCUCAGCGCUAUCUCCUUUUCCUGGCUGCCACCUCCUUUUCCUCAUUAUCACCUCCUCUUCCUCACUGCCAUCUCCUCUUCCUGCUCACCAUCUCCUCUUCCUCACCGCCACCUGCUCUUCCUCACAGCCACCUCCUCUUCCUCACUGCCAUCUCCUCUUCCUUGCCCUCUCCUUCUCUUUCUUACAAUAAUCACCUCUUCCUUUCUGCUACCUUGUCUACCUCUUCAUGACCUCCUCUUCCUCACACCCCCUGCUCUUCCUCACUGCCAUCUCCUCUUCCCCACUGCCACCUCCUCUUCCUGCUCACCACCUCCUCUUCCUCACCGCCAUCUCCCUUUCCUCACCACCAUCUCCUCUUCCUCACUGCCAUCUCCUCCUCCUUGCCCUCUCCUUCUUUUUCUCAUCAUCAUCUUUUCCUUUCUGCCACCUUGUCUACCUCACCAUGACUUCCUCUUCCUCCUCAUGACCUUCACUUCAUCACCACCACCUCCUCUUCUUCAUCACCACCAACUUCUCUUCUUCCUCACCACUUCCUCUUCCUCACUUCCACCUCCUCCUGGUCCCCCCGCUGCCCCUUUCCAGCCCAAAGCCAAAGGCUGCUUCUCCCUCCACUCCUCCCCAGUCCUUUCUGGCGUUUCUGGCUGUUUCACGUCAGCUGCUGAUUCCAGAGGAUUUGGGAAUCCUGGGGUUUGGGGAACAUCUAGUUCAUGGGAUGGGGCUGGGAUCCUGCAGUGUCCCUGGGGAACACCACAGGGAUGGGGCUGGGAUCCUGGAAUCUCCCUGGGGAACAUCACAAGGACUAGAAUCUCCCUGGAGAGCAUCACAGGGAUGGGACGAGGACAAGGACACUGGAAUCUCCCUGGGGAACAUCCCAGGGACAGGACUGGGAUCCUGGAAUCUCCCUGGGGAGCAUCACAGGGACUGGAGUCCCCCUGAGGAACACCACAGGGAUGGGAUGAGGACAUUGGCAUCUCUUGGGGAACAUCACAGGGAUG